GACGAACGCUGGCGGCGUGCUUAACACAUGCAAGUCGAACGGAAAGGCCCUGCUUUUGUGGGGUGCUCGAGUGGCGAACGGGUGAGUAACACGUGAGUAACCUGCCCUUGACUUUGGGAUAACUUCAGGAAACUGGGGCUAAUACCGGAUAGGAGCUCCUGCUGCAUGGUGGGGGUUGGAAAGUUUCGGCGGUUGGGGAUGGACUCGCGGCUUAUCAGCUUGUUGGUGGGGUAGUGGCUUACCAAGGCUUUGACGGGUAGCCGGCCUGAGAGGGUGACCGGCCACAUUGGGACUGAGAUACGGCCCAGACUCCUACGGGAGGCAGCAGUGGGGAAUAUUGCACAAUGGGCGGAAGCCUGAUGCAGCAACGCCGCGUGCGGGAUGACGGCCUUCGGAUUGUAAACCGCUUUCGCCUGUGACGGAGCGUGAGUGACGGUAAUGGGUAAAGAAGCACCGGCUAACUACGUG
Molecule: ribosomal RNA, 468 nt
Filed under: uncultured bacterium
Lineage: Bacteria
Description: partial 16S ribosomal RNA
Rfam family: Bacterial small subunit ribosomal RNA
Source: RNAcentral